CUACGAAGGGGGCAAGCGUUGUUCGGAAUAACUGGGCGUAAAGCGCACGUAGGCGGAAUGUUAAGUUAGAGGUGAAAUCCCAGGGCUCAACCCUGGAACGGCCUUUAAUACUGGCAAUCUAGAGACCGAGAGAGGUGAGUGGAAUUCCGAGUGUAGAGGUGAAAUUCGUAGAUAUUCGGAGGAACACCAGUGGCGAAGGCGGCUCACUGGCUCGGUACUGACGCUGAGGUGCGAAAGCGUGGGGAGCAAACAGAAUUAGAAACCCUAGUAGUCC
This 274-nucleotide ribosomal RNA is filed under the name uncultured bacterium. RNAcentral describes it as "partial 16S ribosomal RNA". It matches the Rfam family "Bacterial small subunit ribosomal RNA", at positions 523 to 796 of the family's 1533-position model. The record is from RNAcentral.